GAACGGACAGACUUUAACGAGAACACCCAUAUCAGAAUAGAUUUUCCAUUCUACAACAAAGAAAUUUUCAAACAACACAACAAUACACACAUACACUACCCAUAUACACAGAAUACACAGUACACAUACAAAAGGACACGAAUCUCUCUUCUUUCUCUCCUUAACAGCCGUUCCUAUCCUCUUUGAUGAAGAUCUGUCAGAGCACGUCCACCAUCAUCACCACCACAUGACCAAUAACAACUCUACGCCGCCCGUCACUGCCA
This 263-nucleotide long non-coding RNA is filed under the name Capsicum annuum. RNAcentral describes it as "long non-coding RNA (CANN_LNC018390)". Lineage: Eukaryota; Viridiplantae; Streptophyta; Magnoliopsida; Solanales; Solanaceae. The record is from RNAcentral.